This 351-nucleotide unclassified non-coding RNA is filed under the name Hevea brasiliensis (rubber tree). Lineage: Eukaryota; Viridiplantae; Streptophyta; Magnoliopsida; Malpighiales; Euphorbiaceae. The record is from RNAcentral.
AAAAAAAAAAAAAAAACAGAGCUUCUACAUGGGUUAUUUCCUUUAUUGACCAUGGUUUUGAAUGGUCAUCUUUACCUACCGAGUUCAAGAGACUCAAAGUCAUCUUAACUUGAUAUACCAUUUAUCAUUUUUAGUUCAGUAAAUGUACUAAUGGAUUCAUUAAAACCUGAAAGGUAAAAACAUUAAAUAAAAUACACCUAUCAACAUAAGGAUUAAGAAUGAUGAAAAAAAGUGUGUCUAUGCCUGUCAUGUGAUAUGCCAGAGAGAGAGAGAGCAUGACAAUGCACCAAAAAAAGGAAGGGAACAGUCAAUCAUUUGACAACACAAGCCAGUGAAACAUAAACAGAAGCC